This 744-nucleotide long non-coding RNA is filed under the name Triticum aestivum (bread wheat). RNAcentral's name for it is "long non-coding RNA (TAES_LNC017198)". The record is from RNAcentral. Lineage: Eukaryota; Viridiplantae; Streptophyta; Magnoliopsida; Poales; Poaceae.
UCUCCCUAUACCUUGUGAUUGAUUCUAGGUAUAUACAGAUGCCAUCUCUGUCUGGCAACAUAUGGACCUGAUUACAUUCAGGUGCAUAUACUAUACUUAAACAAUCAUUUAUAGUGUGGUGUUUCAGCUAGGAAUGUUGAUUAAUUCAGCAUGCUUAUGAUUAAUUCAACCUGUUUUUUUUAUAUCAGGUUCUCAUUGAGCUGUCUAAGAACAAGUAGAUCAUCAUUUCACCAUCUUCGGCCGCCCCAGGGUGUCAUCUCUUUGGCCUCCUCCAGCACUUCUUCUUUGUUCCUGAGUAUAAAACGUGAUGCAUGCGCCCUGUUCUAAAGUAGAAAAUCACUAAUAGCUUGUACUGUCCAUCUAUUGUGUUAACUUGCUCUAUGAUGGUACUUGAUCAUUUGCAAAAUAUAUCUCAGUUUUCGCUGUUAUGAGAAUGUUAUAUGCAUGGUUUCCUGUUAAAUCUAAAGUACUGCGGCAAAUUUUCAUCGUUAUGAGAAUUUUAUAUUCACGGAUUCACUUGAUUAUGUUUCUAACUUUUCAUAAUUUAUUAUUUGCAGAUGCUGGCCUUCAUUCUUCAAAAGUUGGGUGUACAGGAGCUCUAGGAAGAAGAAUCCCGAAGAAAAACCACACCCAGCAAUGCGUUUUUAGCUCACUGGAGAUAGUUAUGUGUGAAGCUAGUUAUGUGUAUAUUUAGUUGUAUUUUAUAGCUAAAUACUAGAUUCGUACUAUGUACUUUGCUUGGCU